GACGUAGGGCGCGAGCGUUGUCCGGAUUUAUUGGGCGUAAAGGGCGCGUAGGCGGCUUGCCAAGUCGGGGGCGAAAUCCGGCAGCUUAACUGUCGAAGUGCCUUCGAUACUGGCAAGCUCGAGGGAGGUAGGGGUCUGUGGAACUUCUGGUGGAGCGGUGAAAUGCGUUGAUAUCAGAAGGAACGCCGGUGGCGAAAGCGACGGACUGGACCUCUUCUGACGCUGAGGCGCGAAAGCUAGGGGAGCAAACGGG
This 253-nucleotide ribosomal RNA is filed under the name uncultured bacterium. Its description in RNAcentral is "partial 16S ribosomal RNA". It matches the Rfam family "Bacterial small subunit ribosomal RNA", at positions 524 to 776 of the family's 1533-position model. The record is from RNAcentral.